UGGGGAAUUUUGGACAAUGGGCGAAAGCCUGAUCCAGCAAUGCCGCGUGUGUGAAGAAGGCCUUCGGGUUGUAAAGCACUUUUGUCCGGAAAGAAAUCCUUGGCUCUAAUACAGUCGGGGGAUGACGGUACCGGAAGAAUAAGCACCGGCUAACUACGUGCCAGCAGCCGCGGUAAUACGUAGGGUGCAAGCGUUAAUCGGAAUUACUGGGCGUAAAGCGUGCGCAGGCGGUUUGCUAAGACCGAUGUGAAAUCCCCGGGCUCAACCUGGGAACUGCAUUGGUGACUGGCAGGCUAGAGUAUGGCAGAGGGGGGUAGAAUUCCACGUGUAGCAGUGAAAUGCGUAGAGAUGUGGAGGAAUACCGAUGGCGAAGGCAGCCCCCUGGGCCAAUACUGACGCUCAUGCACGAAAGCGUGGGGAGCAAACAGGAUUAGAUACCCUGGUAGUCCACGCCCUAAAACGAUGUCAACUAGUUGUUGGGGAUUCAUUUCCUUAGUAACGUAGCUAACGCGUGAAGUUGACCGCCUGGGGAGUACGGUCGCAAGAUUAAAACUUAAAGGAAUUGACGAGGUCAUAGCU
Molecule: ribosomal RNA, 579 nt
Filed under: uncultured bacterium
Lineage: Bacteria
Description: partial 16S ribosomal RNA
Rfam family: Bacterial small subunit ribosomal RNA
Source: RNAcentral